This 100-nucleotide transfer RNA is filed under the name Hafnia alvei. RNAcentral describes it as "tRNA-seC(tca)". Lineage: Bacteria; Pseudomonadati; Pseudomonadota; Gammaproteobacteria; Enterobacterales; Hafniaceae. The record is from RNAcentral.
CAAAGCAUGGCUGAUGGGAUUAGGCGCCGUCGCCAGUUUCAGCCUGGCGGGCUCUGAAUAUAACCAUUCCAUUAUUGCGAUCAGCAUCGCAAUGUUCUUA